UACGGAGGGUGCAAGCGUUAUCCGGAUUCACUGGGUUUAAAGGGUGCGUAGGUGGGUUGGUAAGUCAGUGGUGAAAUCUCUAGGCUUAACCUGGAAACUGCCAUUGAUACUAUCAGUCUUGAAUAUUGUGGAGGUCAGCGGAAUAUGUCAUGUAGCGGUGAAAUGCUUAGAUAUGACAUAGAACACCAAUUGCGAAGGCAGCUGGCUAUGCAUAUAUUGACACUGAGGCACGAAAGCGUGGGUAGCAAACAGG
RNAcentral lists this ribosomal RNA (253 nucleotides) under uncultured bacterium. Its description in RNAcentral is "partial 16S ribosomal RNA". It matches the Rfam family "Bacterial small subunit ribosomal RNA", at positions 524 to 776 of the family's 1533-position model. The record is from RNAcentral.